GAUGAACGCUGGCGGCGUGCCUAACACAUGCAAGUCGAGCGGCAGCGAGGGGUUCUUGCACCCUGUCGGCGAGCGGCGGACGGCUGAGUAACGCGUGGGAACGUACCCCAAAGUGAGGAAUAACAGCCCGAAAGGGUAGCUAAUACCGCCUAUUAUCUUCGGAUCAAAGGAAUUAUCCGCCUUGGGAGCGGCUCGCGUCGGCUUAGGUAGUUGGUGAGGUAAUGGAGCACCAAGCCGACGACCCGUAGCUGGUCUGAGAGGAUGGCCAGCCAGACUGGGACUGGGACACGGUCCACACUCCUACGGUGGGCAGCAGUGACGAAUGUUCCACAAUCCGCGAACGCCUGAUGGGCCAACGCCGCGUGCAGGACGAAGAACAUAGGGGUGUACACUGCUCUCAUGCCAGACCAAGAUCAUGGUAAGGACUGAAUAAGGACCGGCUAACCAUCU
This 450-nucleotide ribosomal RNA is filed under the name uncultured bacterium. RNAcentral describes it as "partial 16S ribosomal RNA". It matches the Rfam family "Bacterial small subunit ribosomal RNA", at positions 28 to 506 of the family's 1533-position model. The record is from RNAcentral.